This is a long non-coding RNA of Zea mays, 382 nucleotides long. RefSeq lists it as uncharacterized. The record is from RefSeq and is a predicted model, not a curated record. Lineage: Eukaryota; Viridiplantae; Streptophyta; Magnoliopsida; Poales; Poaceae. The transcript is spliced from 2 exons.
GUCGUUUUUGCAAAGGAUCUUGCUCAAGCGUUUUCCUUGCCCAUGGUACCAGACGAUGGAUCCUAACUACUUUUCAUGGGCUAACUUCCAAUGCACACGCCCAGGACGGAUCAUCACCCGUGCAAUUGUAAGACUAUGAGCCUGUUUGGUUUGAUGCCCGUAGUUUGGUUAACUUUUUCUUCUCUACUGUUGUGGGUAAAUAUUGUGAAAAGCAGGAUCCUACACUUGCUGUUGUUGCUUAUAGACGUGGGCAGUGUGACGAUGAACUUAUUAACGUCACUAACAAGAAUUCGUUAUUCAAGCUGCAAGCUAGGUAUGUGGUUGAGAGAAUGGAUGGUGAUCUGUGGGAUAAAGUUCUUCAGCCCGAGAAUGAAUAUAGAAG